UAGCCUUGCGGCCGUACUCCCCAGGCGGGUCACUUAAUGUGUUAACUGCGGCACCCCAGCAAAAGCCGGGACACCUAGUGACCAUAGUUUACGGCGUGGACUACCAGGGUAUCUAACCCUGUUUGCUCCCCACGCUUUCGCGCCUCAGCGUCAGUAUUGUUCCAGGAGGCCGCCUUCGCCAAGGAUGUUCUUCCCGAUAUCUACGAAUUUCACCUCUACACCGGGAAUUCCGCCUCCCUCCCCCAUACUCUAGCUUAGCAGUAUUCAGUGCACUUCCUUAUUUAAGUUAAGGGAUUUCACACUGAACUUACUAAACCGCCUACACGCCCUUUACGCCCAAUACUUCCGGACAACGCUCGCAUCCUACGUUUUACCGCGGCUGCUGGCACGUAGUUGGCCGAUGCUUCCUCUCGCAGUACAGUCAAUGUCAUUCUCUGUUAAAGAACAACACCAUCUUCCCGCUCGACAGAGCUUUACAACCCGAGGGCCUUCAUCACUCACGUGGUAUCGCUGGGUCAGGCUUGCGCCCAUUGCCCAAGAUUCCUCACUGCUGCCUCCCGUAGGAGUCUGGACCGUGUUUAAGUUCCAGUGUGGCUGGUCGUCCUUCCAGACCAGCUACCGGUCAUAGCCUUGGUGAGCCAUUACCUCACCAACAAGCUGAUCGGACACAGGCCCAUCUUCAGAUAAAAGCUUGUAAACAGAGGCCUCUUUGCUGACUAAUAUCUCAAUUAAUCAGGUUAUCCGGUAUUAGUCCCGCUUUCGCGGGAUUAUCCCGGUUCCGAAGGUAGGUUACCCAUGUGUUACUCACCCGCUCGCCGCUUUACUCCUCCGAUUGCUCGGAGUUUCUCGCUCGACUUGC
This 859-nucleotide ribosomal RNA is filed under the name uncultured bacterium. RNAcentral's name for it is "partial 16S ribosomal RNA". The record is from RNAcentral.